Long non-coding RNA from Salarias fasciatus (jewelled blenny), 99 nucleotides. RefSeq lists it as uncharacterized. The record is from RefSeq and is a predicted model, not a curated record. NCBI's taxonomy places the organism in Eukaryota, Metazoa, Chordata, Actinopteri, Blenniiformes, Blenniidae. The transcript has 3 exons.
ACUUCAGUGGACAAACAACAGCUCAUCUAUCUUAUGUUACAAAUGGGCCUCAGGCACAUGUUGUACAAGUAUCCAAAGAAAGUGUGACCAGGCUAAUAA